GCGUGCAUAGUUUAUCCGGCUAAAACCCCUGCCCUCCAAGCAGGUAAAGAGGGUUCGACACCCGCUGCACGCU
Molecule: transfer RNA, 73 nt
Filed under: Faecalibacterium prausnitzii M21/2
Lineage: Bacteria; Bacillati; Bacillota; Clostridia; Eubacteriales; Oscillospiraceae
Description: tRNA-Gly
Rfam family: tRNA
About the family: Transfer RNA (tRNA) molecules are approximately 80 nucleotides in length. Their secondary structure includes four short double-helical elements and three loops (D, anti-codon, and T loops).
Source: RNAcentral